Long non-coding RNA from Hydractinia symbiolongicarpus, 1921 nucleotides. RefSeq lists it as uncharacterized. The record is from RefSeq and is a predicted model, not a curated record. The transcript has 2 exons. NCBI's taxonomy places the organism in Eukaryota, Metazoa, Cnidaria, Hydrozoa, Anthoathecata, Hydractiniidae.
ACAGUGUUUUGAAUGUGUCAAUCAGGAGGGAAGGGAAAGGAGUUUGAAGAAAAGAAACUUUUGCAAUAAAUCUUAUAAAAAAAUUUUCUUACCAUUUCUUCAUUUUAGAUGAAAAAAAGUUCUGAAGCCAAAAUGAGAAAAAAUGUUCCGCAUGUCUAUUCAUCAUUUAUCCCAUUCAUAACGUCAAUAAUAUAUUUUCGUGCAAACUCAACCAAUAGUUGCAGUGACGACAGAAGCAAAGGUACAACUCCAUCAAUGAAAUAUUCUCUAUGCAAUCAUUCAUUUUGAAAUAAACAUUAUUGGCUUAAUAGAAACUCAUGCUUAUUUUAGGUAUUAAAAUCCAUUAAUAUUGAUUAUUAUUAUUAGUUCAUAAAAAUAGUGAAUAUGUACUUUUUACAUAUUUAAGGAAUAUAUUAAAAUAAAGAUUUCAAUGGUGAAUAACAUGUAAAUGAAUGGUGUUAACGUUUCGUAUGGAAUUAUUUAUCAUUUUUUGUGCAGAAAACACACCCAUCUCACGCACGUGAGAACUUACAAAAAGUUUCAAUACACGCGAGAUAAAAAAAGGGUCAGUAAAUUACACAUAUGACAGGCCCUUGGCUUGAUAAAAACCAAACCCUAAAAAAUUAGGGGUCAAAAGAAUAUUUUAUUUUUAUUUUUGAUUUUUAUGAACAUGUACACAAUUUCCAAAACAUGUUUUUAAUUCAGGAUUGGGAAUAAAAAUACUUGCUGUAGGAUAGUAGAGAGUCGGUGCUUUACCACGGAAUUAGUUCCUGCGACAAACAUCGAACUGGUACUUAUAAAAAGAAGUUAUGACGUAUUGUUAUUUGGUUGGCAAAUAAAAUAAUUGUUAUAUAUAUAUAAUGUCAAAUCCACUUCUUAACCUAUCCUUUAGAGUGAAUUACGGUCACAGUUUUGUAUCUCAAAUUUUCAGCCUUCUGAUUGGCUAGAGAUGCCGUACGGGUUGUGGUGUACGUAACGUCCGUGAAAGUAAAAAGGCAAACAAAGAUGGCAGAAAAGAUGUAGCGUAUCUGCAAAAUUCCACUGGCAUCAGGCACAAAAAACGCGAAGUAAGCCGUCUAUAGCUAACACACCUGAAGAUAGGAAUUCUAACAUCAGGCACCAGUAGGUAUGUGUGAAUAUGCAGUUCGUGAUGGAAUUUAUUCAUUACAACCCGAUUGUAAGAAAAACAACCGAUUAAAACGUUAUGAUGGAAGAACAGCAAAAUAGCAUAUUAUAAACAUGAAAGUCGUUUUUGUUCUAUGGUAAUAGUUGUUGUGAUUAUUAUAAAUAUAUAUAUAUAAAAAUGAGUAAAAUUUGAAAAACCAGAAAAAGACGAUUGCUGUAAUAAUAUCUCCUAUAUAAUUUGAAAAAAGUCCGUCUGGGUGUGAGGCAAGGUAAAUUAUAUUUUCUACAAUUUUCUUUGCCUAAAGAAACAUCUUCUAAAACUAUGUUUUGUAUUUUGAAACUUCUUUAAUUGUCUAAAACAAAUCACAUGAUAAAAGGAAAUAAUUUCAUUAGCUGGGAAUUUUGGCAGUUUUACCCUAAUUUAAAUUUGCUAAAGGUUUUUUAAAAUGGACUCUUAUUAUACGAAUUUAUGUUUUGCGUUUGAAUGACGUUUUUAUAUGUCGAAUAUCCCAAAUAGAAAUUACUAUCUGCAAGGAAUCUUUUUACUCCUUGAUGGUUACUCAUGUUUCUAAUCAAAUAUUGGUAGAGCUUAGAGAUAUUUUAUAAUUUUGUUGUUUUGUACAACCCAUACUCAAUUUAUUUUGUUUUGUAAUUAUCUAAAAAAUAGAAAGUAACGAGCUGUGACUAUUGAAGACUGUUUACUUUUUGUUCUCAUUUUCUUGUAAUUUGAGUUAUUGUCGUGAGAAAAAUAAUACCUUAAAAUUUUGUUUUAUGGUAAAGAAAUAUUGUACACGAA